GGGGUUGACUGGAUUUGACAGCAGGAUGAGAUGGUAUGUAAGCAUGCGGAGUGACGGCUGUAUACUCCAUAAUCCAUUCGGUCGAAAAUUUAAUUGGCAACAAUGAGUAUGCUCUCGCUGCCUAAUCGAAGUACAGUAGAUUGAGGCUCAAUUCCGCUACCAGGUAGCAGAACGAGACGUCGCUCCGAGGAUGUUGUUCCGAAUCCAGAGAUCAAGCGGCGCAGGUUAAAUCGGGAAUAGUCUUGUCAGGCCCCGAUGGCAGGAUGAAACUUUAGGGGAUAAGGCUGCGGUUGGUGGCUUGGGUCUUGCUGCAGCACGAAAAUGAAGGCCAAGAUAAGCAUGUAGAAAGCGUAUGGUUUCCCUGUUUGGACGAGGGUUCGACUCCCUCCAGCUCCACCA
RNAcentral lists this transfer-messenger RNA (399 nucleotides) under Bacteroidaceae. Its description in RNAcentral is "Prevotella sp902765585 Standard tmRNA". It matches the Rfam family "transfer-messenger RNA". Rfam says of the family: Bacterial tmRNA, also known as 10Sa RNA or SsrA, is named for its dual tRNA and mRNA-like properties. Its role is to liberate the mRNA from a stalled ribosome. To accomplish this part of the tmRNA is used as a reading frame that ends in a translation stop signal. The record is from RNAcentral. RNAcentral also lists the same sequence under 1 other name. Lineage: Bacteria; Pseudomonadati; Bacteroidota; Bacteroidia; Bacteroidales.